UGGGCGUUAAGUUGCAGGGUAUAGACCCGAAACCCGGUGAUCUAGCCAUGGGCAGGUUGAAGGUUGGGUAACACUAACUGGAGGACCGAACCGACUAAUGUUGAAAAAUUAGCGGAUGACCUGUGGCUGGGGGUGAAAGGCCAAUCAAACCGGGAGAUAGCUGGUUCUCCCCGAAAGCUAUUUAGGUAGCGCCUCGUGAAUUCAUCUCCGGGGGUAGAGCACUGUUUCGGCUAGGGGGCCAUCCCGGCUUACCAACCCGAUGCAAACUGCGAAUACCGGAGAAUGUUAUCACGGGAGACACACGGCGGGUGCUAACGUCCGUCGUGAAGAGGGAAACAACCCAGACCGCCAGCUAAGGUCCCAAAGUCAUGGUUAAGUGGGAAACGAUGUGGGAAGGCCCAGACAGCCAGGAUGUUGGCUUAGAAGCAGCCAUCAUUUAAAGAAAGCGUAAUAGCUCACUGGUCGAGUCGGCCUGCGCGGAAGAUGUAACGGGGCUAAACCAUGCACCGAAGCUGCGGCAGCGACGCUUAUGCGUUGCUGGGUAGGGGAGCGUUCUGUAAGCCUG
This 565-nucleotide ribosomal RNA is filed under the name Salmonella enterica subsp. enterica. RNAcentral describes it as "partial 23S ribosomal RNA". It matches the Rfam family "Bacterial large subunit ribosomal RNA", at positions 689 to 1251 of the family's 2925-position model. Lineage: Bacteria; Pseudomonadati; Pseudomonadota; Gammaproteobacteria; Enterobacterales; Enterobacteriaceae. The record is from RNAcentral.